Molecule: small nucleolar RNA, 142 nt
Organism: Megalops cyprinoides (Indo-Pacific tarpon)
Lineage: Eukaryota; Metazoa; Chordata; Actinopteri; Elopiformes; Megalopidae
Product: small nucleolar RNA SNORA1
Exons: 1
Source: RefSeq, a predicted model, not a curated record
UGCCUUGUGGUAGAUUGCAAGAAGGGGUUACCUUCGUCCGUGGGUAAAUUCCCAAGUUUCCACAUGGCUACACGAAUUUCGGGAUUUGCUUCCAUCACUGUAUAAUUUGGUUAUAGUGGUGACAAUGAUGCCCGAAACAUCG